This 403-nucleotide ribosomal RNA is filed under the name Bacteroidota bacterium. Its description in RNAcentral is "Bacteroidetes bacterium partial 16S ribosomal RNA". It matches the Rfam family "Bacterial small subunit ribosomal RNA", at positions 355 to 776 of the family's 1533-position model. Lineage: Bacteria; Pseudomonadati; Bacteroidota. The record is from RNAcentral.
UGGGGAAUAUUGCACAAUGGGGGAAACCCUGAUGCAGCGACGCCGCGUGAACGAAGAAGGUAUUCGUAUCGUAAAGUUCUGUCCUAUGGGAAGAUAAUGACAGUACCAUAGAAGAAAGCUCCGGCUAAAUACGUGCCAGCAGCCGCGGUAAUACGUAGGUCCCGAGCGUUGUCCGGAUUUAUUGGGCGUAAAGCGAGCGCAGGCGGUUAGAUAAGUCUGAAGUUAAAGGCAGUGGCUCAACCAUUGUAGGCUUUGGAAACUGUUUAACUUGAGUGCAGAAGGGGAGAGUGGAAUUCCAUGUGUAGCGGUGAAAUGCGUAGAUAUAUGGAGGAACACCGGUGGCGAAAGCGGCUCUCUGGUCUGUAACUGACGCUGAGGCUCGAAAGCGUGGGGAGCGAACAGG